GACGAACGCUGGCGGCGUGCUUAACACAUGCAAGUCGAACGGAAAGGCCCCGCUUUUGUGGGGUGCUCGAGUGGCGAACGGGUGAGUAACACGUGAGUAACCUGCCCUUGACUUUGGGAUAACUUCAGGAAACUGGGGCUAAUACCGGAUAGGAGCUCCUGCUGCAUGGUGGGGGUUGGAAAGUUUCGGCGGUUGGGGAUGGACUCGCGGCUUAUCAGCUUGUUGGUGGGGUAGUGGCUUACCAAGGCUUUGACGGGUAGCCGGCCUGAGAGGGUGACCGGCCACAUUGGGACUGAGAUACGGCCCAGACUCCUACGGGAGGCAGCAGUGGGGAAUAUUGCACAAUGGGCGGAAGCCUGAUGCAGCAACGCCGCGUGCGGGAUGACGGCCUUCGGGUUGUAAACCGCUUUCGCCUGUGACGAAGCGUGAGUGACGGUAAUGAGUAAAGAAGCACCGGCUAACUACGUG
This 468-nucleotide ribosomal RNA is filed under the name uncultured bacterium. RNAcentral's name for it is "partial 16S ribosomal RNA". It matches the Rfam family "Bacterial small subunit ribosomal RNA", at positions 28 to 507 of the family's 1533-position model. The record is from RNAcentral.